Molecule: long non-coding RNA, 481 nt
Organism: Arabidopsis lyrata subsp. lyrata
Lineage: Eukaryota; Viridiplantae; Streptophyta; Magnoliopsida; Brassicales; Brassicaceae
Exons: 5
Source: RefSeq, a predicted model, not a curated record
UGUGUUUCAGUUUUGUAGAGCGUGGGAGGUUCUAUCGACAAAGCUUUUGGACGAAAGUGGUGUUGAUGAUAACAGAACGAGGUUUGGAAAGGGAUAGUGUACACGUACUCGACGGGGGUGAAUUACACCUAAGCUUAGAUGUCUUCAAAAGGCCAUCACUCACAACAACAUCCUCUUCACCUCAAUGGCUUCACAUAUGUUGUGUUCGGGACUAAGAAGCAUGGGAACGGGAAGAUUGAUGAACUAGAGAGGCAUAUUGAGUCUUUGAUAUGGGAAACUGUUAAGGAAAGAGAAAGGGAAUGUGUGGGAUUAGAUGACUACGAGAAGCUCGAGAAAAACAGAGUUCUCUAAAACGAGAUCGGUCGAGAUUGCAUAGGUUGGAUGUGUGGAAAGAACACAUCGAUGUUGAAAACGUUGGAAUGCAAGCUAACACAGCCAAGAUAUUGGUCAUGCAAAGAUCUCUUAUGAUUCUGUGACUAAG